CAGUCGCCACGGUAAAACGAAGGGGGCUAGCGUUGUUCGGAUUUACUGGGCGUAAAGCGCACGUAGGCGGACUUUUAAGUCAGGGGUGAAAUCCCGGGGCUCAACCCCGGAACUGCCUUUGAUACUGGGAGUCUUGAGUUCGAGAGAGGUGAGUGGAAUUGCGAGUGCAGAGGUGAAAUUCGUAGAUAUUCGCAGGAACACCAGUGGCGAAGGCGGCUCACUGGCUCGAUACUGACGCUGAGGUGCGAAAGCGUGGGGAGCAAACAGGAUUAGAUACCCCCGUAGUCCCUGUCUCUUAUAC
RNAcentral lists this ribosomal RNA (301 nucleotides) under uncultured bacterium. Its description in RNAcentral is "partial 16S ribosomal RNA". It matches the Rfam family "Bacterial small subunit ribosomal RNA", at positions 509 to 807 of the family's 1533-position model. The record is from RNAcentral.